UACGAAGGGGGCUAGCGUUGUUCGGAAUUACUGGGCGUAAAGCGCACGUAGGCGGAUUUGUUAGUCAGGGGUGAAAUCCCGGGGCUCAACCUCGGAACUGCCUUUGAUACUGCAAGUCUCGAGUCCGGAAGAGGUGAGUGGAAUUCCUAGUGUAGAGGUGAAAUUCGUAGAUAUUAGGAAGAACACCAGUGGCGAAGGCGGCUCACUGGUCCGGUACUGACGCUGAGGUGCGACAGCGUGGGGAGCUAACAGG
This 253-nucleotide ribosomal RNA is filed under the name uncultured bacterium. RNAcentral's name for it is "partial 16S ribosomal RNA". It matches the Rfam family "Bacterial small subunit ribosomal RNA", at positions 524 to 776 of the family's 1533-position model. The record is from RNAcentral.